RNAcentral lists this ribosomal RNA (301 nucleotides) under uncultured bacterium. Its description in RNAcentral is "partial 16S ribosomal RNA". It matches the Rfam family "Bacterial small subunit ribosomal RNA", at positions 509 to 807 of the family's 1533-position model. The record is from RNAcentral.
CAGUAGCCACGGUAAUACGAAGGGGGCUAGCGUUGUUCGGAAUUACUGGGCGUAAAGCGCACGUAGGCGGACAUUUAAGUCAGGGGUGAAAUCCCGGGGCUCAACCCCGGAACUGCCUUUGAUACUGGGUGUCUUGAGUGUGAGAGAGGUAUGUGGAACUCCGAGUGUAGAGGUGAAAUUCGUAGAUAUUCGGAAGAACACCAGUGGCGAAGGCGACAUACUGGCUCAUUACUGACGCUGAGGCGCGAAAGCGUGGGGAGCAAACAGGAUUAGAUACCCCCGUAGUCCCUGUCUCUUAUAC